RNAcentral lists this ribosomal RNA (253 nucleotides) under uncultured bacterium. RNAcentral describes it as "partial 16S ribosomal RNA". It matches the Rfam family "Bacterial small subunit ribosomal RNA", at positions 524 to 776 of the family's 1533-position model. The record is from RNAcentral.
UACGUAGGGGGCAAGCGUUGUCCGGAAUCAUUGGGCGUAAAGAGCGUGUAGGCGGCCCGGUAAGUCCGCCGUGAAAGUCCAGGGCUCAACCCUGGAAUGCCGGUGGAAACUGCCGGGCUGGAGUCCGGAAGAGGCGAGUGGAAUUCCUGGUGUAGCGGUGAAAUGCGCAGAUAUCGGGAGGAACACCUAUGGCGAAGGCAGCUCGCUGGGACGGUACUGACGCUGAGACGCGAAAGCGUGGGGAGCAAACAGG